ACAGGUGUGGGCCAGCCUGGUCAGAUGCCGCCCUCAUCGAGGGAGACGCCCGUUCAAAUCGGGUCACCUGUC
RNAcentral lists this transfer RNA (72 nucleotides) under Brooklawnia cerclae. RNAcentral describes it as "tRNA-Asp". The record is from RNAcentral. Lineage: Bacteria; Bacillati; Actinomycetota; Actinomycetes; Propionibacteriales; Propionibacteriaceae.